Long non-coding RNA from Solanum pennellii, 1104 nucleotides. RefSeq lists it as uncharacterized. The transcript has 2 exons. NCBI's taxonomy places the organism in Eukaryota, Viridiplantae, Streptophyta, Magnoliopsida, Solanales, Solanaceae. The record is from RefSeq and is a predicted model, not a curated record.
AAUAGUAAAUACUUAGAAAUAGUAUUUAGGGAUUUAAGACCUCCUAGAAGAACUCUAUCCCUCUCAUUUCAUUGUUAACCUAUGAAUAUAUAGCAAGAAAGGUUUAAUCAUUUAAAAAAAAUCAGAAAGAAGAAAAGAAAUCAUCUUUGAUAAUCUUUGCUUGAAAAAAUUCAUUUUCAAGCUCCUUUCCAAAAUCUUUUCAUAGAAAAACAUUGUCAAAACUUUGGUUUUAGUCAUCAAGAAAAUCGUCUUUGAAGGAAGAAAACAGAAAAAAGGAAAGGAAAUAUAUAAAUAAUGGAAGAAGCUAAAAAAAUUGUUGCAACUUUCACCUCAACAACAAUAUUUUUCAUGUUGAUGAUCAAUAUAAUUCACUUAAACGUUGCGGUAGGAUUACCACACAAAAAAAUUGUUGUCAUAACCAAUAAUCAUACAAAUUAUCUUAGCGUCCGUUGCUUCUCCUUUGAAGAUGAUGGCAAUGUUAAGCACCUAAGUACCAUGGGCAGUUUCAAUAUUACUGUCAAAGUCAAAAACUUCUUCUCCUCUUCAACAAUGUACAAUUGCUCCACAAACAUGGGUACAUUUGUUGCAUUUAAAUAUGACUAUGGGUGUGUUAGCCGUUCAACGCCUUGUGAAUGGAGAUUUGAUGAGAACUUCACUUAUCGCUAUAGUCCCAAAGAGCAAAAGUGGGUUGCUCAUGAAUACAAUCCAAAUUAUGAGUCACUUACUAGAGGAGGCGUCAUCAAAGGAUAUUAUGUUAACUAACUAUGACAUUGAAAAAAAUUCAAUGUGACAAAUGGUUGAAUUUGUGGAGAUCCUCUUUUUUUGGGUGGGGUGGGGUGGGGUGGAGGAGGGGGGGGGCAGGGACACUCAAAAGCUUCAUGGAUAGCUUCCUCAUUUCUUUUUUGUUGACUAGAUGCAUAUCAUGCAUAUUAUUCGAUUCAGAGGAAAAGCUUAAAUAUGCUAUUGAUCAAUUCUGAGGGAAAAUAUUUAUUUAUGUCAUUUGUUAAAGUUUGGCUCAUUUAUGGAUAUGAUUUUCGUCUCAGAAAAAACUCAUUCAUGUUAUUAUUUGUUAAUUAAAUCCGACUAAUGACCUUGUGAAUGGAA